ACGGAGGGAGCAAGCGUUGUCCGGAUUUAUUGGGCGUAAAGCGAGCGCAGGCGGUUUUUUAAGUUUGAUGUGAAAGCCCUCGGCUUAACCGAGGAAGUGCAUCGGAAACUGGAGAACUUGAAUGCGGAAGAGGAGAGUGGAACUCCAUGUGUAGCGGUGAAAUGCGUAGAUAUAUGGAAGAACACCAGUGGCGAAGGCGGCCUACUGGGCUUUAACUGACGCUGAGGCUCGAAAGCGUGGGGAGCAAACAG
This 251-nucleotide ribosomal RNA is filed under the name uncultured bacterium. RNAcentral describes it as "partial 16S ribosomal RNA". It matches the Rfam family "Bacterial small subunit ribosomal RNA", at positions 525 to 775 of the family's 1533-position model. The record is from RNAcentral.